CACAAAACCUCUUAAAAACUUCUUGAAAUGGCUACAAACGGCUAUAGACGUCUUGGUCUAUGAUAAGACUGAAAAUAGAAUUUCUUCUAAACAUAACCUCAGCACUUGGAAUAUGCUAGCAUAUAUUCUAUCUGCGGCAAAACCCACUACGGGUGUCACUAGAGUCUGUUUUGGUAAACGCAUUCAGAAUGUCUAACUCAAGAACUUUUCUAGAUCUUUUUGUCUAAAAGUGCAUAAAAUGCCAAACGACGAGUUAAAUGUGCGGUUACCGUCGGCCGUCGACGUUAGCGAAUAAAAGACGCCUCAGUCAAAUCGAACUCGUUCGAAGCAACAUAAGUUAAUUGGCUUUAAUAUUAAAUAAUUUCACACCAGAACUUCAACAAUCAAGGGCGUGUUAUUGUUUUCCAUACAGGGCGCGCACACGACGCCUGGAAACCAUUCUAUGCUCGCGCAGCAGCAGGAGCGAAAUGCCGGUGUUGCACAGCGGUGUCCCAGAGCCACCGCGCUGCGACCACUUCGGCGGCACAAUCCAAAUUUGUCGAACAUCUCAUUCUGUGCUGGAAACACUGGGAGGCAGGAAGUUUGAAAAAAACGGCCACUCCCGCCCGCAAUGUCUCGGUCGUGGGUUCGUUAUGCCAGUUGUUCAAGCCGUUCUGUACAUUUAUACUGGAUAUUAGCUGGAGUCAUUUAGCUGUGCUGAUGCUGUUUGCCGUGUGUUUUGCAUCAGUGCUUCGUGACAUCGGCUGUAUUGCGUGUUUUCGCCGACGGCUUACUACCACAAUGGCGGGAUCUGCGUUCGCCGCCUUCGUGUCUCGGUGCGUCUUUGUACGUCGCACGUUCGGAUAACACUUUUUCCGACGGCUGGAAAUCCUUCUUGUACCUUGGCGCUAGCUGGAUGACGGGACUUCAUCAUGAUCAGUGUAUUGCUUUCCUAUGUCUACAAGAACCGUCACGGGUGGCCUGUGACGGCAAGCUUUUGGGGGCAGCCAGUGCUCUCCUACGAAGGCUGGCCUACUCUGGCAGCGGCGGCAAUCAUCUUCAAGAUUUAUCGAUGAUCACCUUUGCUGCUAUUUGUCACUCUUCUUAAUUACACUUUCUGCAUCUUUUCUAAUCUAUUAGGUAAUAAAGUAUGAGUAUGUGA
Dermacentor albipictus is the source of this 1141-nucleotide long non-coding RNA. RefSeq lists it as uncharacterized. Lineage: Eukaryota; Metazoa; Arthropoda; Arachnida; Ixodida; Ixodidae. The record is from RefSeq and is a predicted model, not a curated record.